UGCAGUUAAAAAGCUCGUAGUUGGACUUAGGGGUGGGUCGGCCGGUCCGCCUCACGGUGAGCACCGGUCUACUCAUCCCUACUGCCGGCGAUGCGCUCCUGGCCUUAAUUGGCUGGGUCGUUCCUCUGGCGCUGUUACUUUCAAGAAAUUAGAGUGCUCAAAGCAGGCCUACGCUUGUAUACAUUAGCAUGGGAUAACAUC
Molecule: non-coding RNA, 201 nt
Filed under: Gossypium arboreum
Lineage: Eukaryota; Viridiplantae; Streptophyta; Magnoliopsida; Malvales; Malvaceae
Description: Eukaryotic small subunit ribosomal RNA
Rfam family: Eukaryotic small subunit ribosomal RNA
Source: Rfam by way of RNAcentral